RNAcentral lists this ribosomal RNA (404 nucleotides) under uncultured bacterium. Its description in RNAcentral is "bacterial SSU rRNA". It matches the Rfam family "Bacterial small subunit ribosomal RNA", at positions 355 to 776 of the family's 1533-position model. The record is from RNAcentral.
UGGGGAAUAUUGCACAAUGGGGGAAACCCUGAUGCAGCGACGCCGCGUGAGUGAAGAAGUAUUUCGGUAUGUAAAGCUCUAUCAGCAGGGAAGAAAAUGACGGUACCUGACUAAGAAGCCCCGGCUAACUACGUGCCAGCAGCCGCGGUAAUACGUAGGGGGCAAGCGUUAUCCGGAUUUACUGGGUGUAAAGGGAGCGUAGACGGCGGAACAAGUCAGAAGUGAAAACCCGGGGCUCAACCCUGGGAGUGCUUUUGAAACUGUUUGGCUGGAGUGCAGGAGAGGUAAGCGGAAUUCCUAGUGUAGCGGUGAAAUGCGUAGAUAUUAGGAGGAACACCAGUGGCGAAGGCGGCUUACUGGACUGUAACUGACGUUGAGGCUCGAAAGCGUGGGGAGCAAACAGG